Molecule: ribosomal RNA, 450 nt
Filed under: Bacillus cereus
Lineage: Bacteria; Bacillati; Bacillota; Bacilli; Caryophanales; Bacillaceae
Description: bacterial SSU rRNA
Rfam family: Bacterial small subunit ribosomal RNA
Source: RNAcentral
GAUUUGGCGGACGGGUGAGUAACACGUGGGUAACCUGCCCAUAAGACUGGGAUAACUCCGGGAAACCGGGGCUAAUACCGGAUAACAUUUUGAACCGCAUGGUUCGAAAUUGAAAGGCGGCUUCGGCUGUCACUUAUGGAUGGACCCGCGUCGCAUUAGCUAGUUGGUGAGGUAACGGCUCACCAAGGCAAUGAUGCGUAGCCGACCUGAGAGGGUGAUCGGCCACACUGGGACUGAGACACGGCCCAGACUCCUACGGGAGGCAGCAGUAGGGAAUCUUCCGCAAUGGACGAAAGUCUGACGGAGCAACGCCGCGUGAGUGAUGAAGGCUUUCGGGUCGUAAAACUCUGUUGUUAGGGAAGAACAAGUGCUAGUUGAAUAAGCUGGCACCUUGACGGUACCUAACCAGAAAGCCACGGCUAACUACGUGCCAGCAGCCGCGGUAAUAAU